This 3034-nucleotide long non-coding RNA is filed under the name Canis lupus familiaris (dog). RNAcentral describes it as "lncRNA (ENSCAFG00000056380.1)". The record is from RNAcentral. Lineage: Eukaryota; Metazoa; Chordata; Mammalia; Carnivora; Canidae.
GGGGUCGGCCGGGCCCGGGCCUGGCUCGGGACUCCCGGCUCCCCGGCUCCCCGGCUCCCCGGCUCCCCGGCUCCCCGGCUACGCGCCGCCCCGGGAGCCGCCACCGCCGGAGGGAGGGCCGAGGCCCGAGCAGCCUCGAGGUGGCUCCCCGGAGCCCGCGGAGGACCGCGAGCCGGGAAGGUGAAUUGAGGCGGGCGCCGGCUCGAGGCUGCACCUGCCCGGGUCUCCCCUACACUGUCCGGCCCAGAAGGCCUGGGUGAGCGGGCCGGGCGGCGGUUCCGACUGCGCGGAACGGGUGAGCGGGAGCGAGGGGGGUCGCGGCAACGCUAGAAGCCUUAUCUCCAGAAUGAAAACGCCUGAUUUCGAAAUGGUUUCCGGAAAGGACUGCGGCGGGGUGAGGGGCUGGGGGAGGGAGAAGAAUGGCGGGACGUAGAGGCCGUUAAACAGCUGCGAGACACGCACGAUCCCGAAGUGCCCCUCGAGACGCAGGUUCCAGGCGCUGGGGAAAGGCCAGGGCCCACCCGGCUCCUGGGGACGCUUACCUUCUAGGAGGGUGGAGGGGUUUACGCAGACGGACAAGGUAAGGACAGACUGGUGAGGCUGUGCAGGAAAUACAGAAGAAGGAUGAGGGUGGUGUGGGCGAGACCCCUUUUUCUGGAUAGGACGGCUGGAGGACCAACCUCUAGAGGGAAGUGAUCGCCGAGCAGCUUCCUGGGGAAAAGGCACCAAAUGCAUUUAGACACAGCCUUACAGACAGGGACUGUAGGUUCCAGAACCUGCUGAAUAACCCGCCUCUACAGCCUUCCCAGGGCUCUCUGUGCCGUCCCCUCUUACGCUUUCCAAGGCUUGCUCACCUCUUGGAGUUGGUGGGGCCUGGGAAUAUGGCACUCUUCGGGAAGGUUCCAGGCCUGAGUUAGGGAACGUUGGUCUCCAGACAGACAUAAACAGGUGCUUCAUCACAGGGAGAAUUACACCAUCAGCCUUGAAAGACAAAUUCUUUAACUUUUUACCAUUUCUUUUUUCCGUCACUUUUUCUCAGACUCAUGAGUAAACAUUAAAACUAUGAUUUUUUUUUUUUUUUUUUUAAACCUGGGAUCAAGAAAAGUAUGGAGCGCCUGGGUGGUGCAGAAGGUUAAGCAUCUGCCUCUGUUCAAGUCAUGGUCCCCCCGGGAUCCAGCCUGGCUUCAGACUCCCUGCUCAGCGGGAGUCUCCACCCGACUUGUGCUGUCUCUAGCACACUCUCUCUCUCAAAUAAAUAGAUAAAAUCUUAAAGAAAAAAAAAAGGAGGAGCUUAAUCUUUCCAAAAGAUUGUACUGUUAUGAUCUGAAUAAAAGAAUUAGUGGCCUAUUUUGCUAAAUCAGUUAAAGUCAAAAUAAAAAGCCGACUUGCAAAAGAGAGGACAUAUUCAGGUAUUAAUGCAUUAUCUGAAUAAUACUAAUAAAUCCAAUAAUGUUUAUUAAAUAUUAGUUUAUAUAACUGCAUAAUUAUUUAACAAUAGAACAAUUGUUUGGAUAAUAGUAGGAUUAGAUUCUCUUGCCCUUUUUAUUUAACCCUUAGCCAUUUGUUUUGACACAUAGCAAACUAUUAGAGAAAGAAACAUUUUGUUGUGUCUUCUGGGAAAGCUGGGAAGGAACUCACCUUUAUUGCUACCUAUUCUUUGCACAGCAUUGUGCUAGGCACCUAAAUAAUUAUCCCUUUCAGUACUAAGACCAACCUUGAGAUUUGUGGAUUAUUAUUUUUUUAAGAUUUUAUUUAUUUGAGAGAGAGAGGAGCACGAGAUGGGGGAAGAGUCAGAGAAGCAGACUCCCCACUGAGUAGGGAACCAGAAGCAGGCUCAAUCCCAGCCCUCCCAGAUCAUGACCUGAGCUGAAGGCAGACACUUAAUCGCCUAAGCUACUCAGGUGCCCAGAGAUAUGGGGAUCAUUAUACCCAUUUUAGUAACAAAGACCUUGAGAUUAGGAGAUUAUGACUAGCCUACGAUAAAACUAGUAGCUGGAAGAGUUAGAAUUUGAACUCAGGUCUUUCUAGCCCUAAUUCCCUUUUUACUUUGCACCAUAUUGCUAAAACUCUAAUUUUUUUAAAAAGAUUUAUUUAUUAGAGUCACAGAGAGAGAGAGAGAGAGAGAGAGGCAGAGACACAGGCAGAGGGAGAAGCAGGCUCCAUGCAGGGAGCCUGAUGUGGGAGUCGAUCCUGGGUCUCCAGGAUCAAGCCCUGGGCGGAAGGCGGCUCUAAACCACCAAGGCACCGGGGCUGCCCGCUAAACUCUAAUUUAAGAAGGAAAUAUAAGUGAAGUGUCCAGUGUCUAUGUUGCUUUAAUAAGCUUUAAGGUAUAAUGAUAUGAGACAGUUUUGGAGCUUCUCUGUUUUUGCUUCUCCCUCUAUAGGAUAUUUGCCAUCUAUUUGGCACCAAAAAAAACUGCUCCACUUGUUUUAAGAGUUGAUAAUACCUUUUGUCUUUUGAAUGCUCCCAAGAAUAUGAUAAAAUCGUGACACUAACAGUUUGUCAUGGCAAAGGGGUCCUGCCUUAAUGUGUCACUCUGAAUUAUUUCACAAGCAGUCUUUCUUUGCACAUUGAUAUGUGUUCCCAGAUUUUUAUGGAAUAUUGUGACAUGUGAAUGCCCCCAGGACUGUGUAGGCUGGCUACUCUAGGGACAUGUAAUAGAUGAAGGAAAAUCUUGCAAAUGUUUAUACAGUUUUGAGGAAUGAGGUGAUAGGAUUUGUACAUUUUUGUUCCUUUCAUAUCAGAUCUUUCACAUUUUUCUUUGAUGAUGUCAAGAGAAAAGUUUUCCUUUCUCAAGAGCAAACACUCAUUUUUGUGGGUUUUCACAAAAUUAAGUUGUUUUUUUGCAAACACUACUAUUUUUCACUCUAUACAUCUCUAGAAAAUACCAUUAGUUCAAACAUUAAAAAUAGGUUAACACUUUUCAGAGUCUAAUAUUUUUAUUAGUGAACUAUGUGUCUGUCUUGGAAGCAUUUUUAAAAUUUUGGUUAACUCCUCACAACCCUAUGGAAAUCUGGCAAAGAAAAAAAAAAAA